UUGAUCAUGGCUCAGGAUGAACGCUAGCUACAGGCUUAACACAUGCAAGUCGAGGGGCAGCGGGAUUGAAGCUUGCUUCAAUUGCCGGCGACCGGCGCACGGGUGAGUAACGCGUAUCCAACCUUCCGUACACUCAGGGAUAGCCUUUCGAAAGAAAGAUUAAUACCUGAUGGUACGAUGAGAUUGCAUGAUAGCAUCAUUAAAGAUUUAUCGGUGUACGAUGGGGAUGCGUUCCAUUAGGUAGUAGGCGGGGUAACGGCCCACCUAGCCAACGAUGGAUAGGGGUUCUGAGAGGAAGGUCCCCCACAUUGGAACUGAGACACGGUCCAAACUCCUACGGGAGGCAGCAGUGAGGAAUAUUGGUCAAUGGACGAGAGUCUGAACCAGCCAAGUAGCGUGAAGGAUGAAGGUCCUACGGAUUGUAAACUUCUUUUAUAAGGGAAUAAACCCUCCCACGUGUGGGAGCUUGUAUGUACCUUAUGAAUAAGCAUCGGCUAACUCCGUGCCAGCAGCCGCGGUAAUACGGAGGAUGCGAGCGUUAUCCGGAUUUAUUGGGUUUAAAGGGAGCGCA
RNAcentral lists this ribosomal RNA (571 nucleotides) under uncultured Bacteroidota bacterium. RNAcentral's name for it is "bacterial SSU rRNA". It matches the Rfam family "Bacterial small subunit ribosomal RNA", at positions 13 to 573 of the family's 1533-position model. Lineage: Bacteria; Pseudomonadati; Bacteroidota. The record is from RNAcentral.